Molecule: ribosomal RNA, 484 nt
Filed under: uncultured bacterium
Lineage: Bacteria
Description: partial 16S ribosomal RNA
Rfam family: Bacterial small subunit ribosomal RNA
Source: RNAcentral
AUUGAACGCUGGCGGCAUGCUUUACACAUGCAAGUCGAACGGCAGCGCGGGCUUCGGCCUGGCGGCGAGUGGCGAACGGGUGAGUAAUACAUCGGAACGUGCCCAGUAGUGGGGGAUAGCUCGGCGAAAGCCGGAUUAAUACCGCAUACGACCUGAGGGUGAAAGCGGGGGAUCUUCGGACCUCGCGCUAUUGGUGCGGCCGAUGGCAGAUUAGCUAGUUGGUGGGGUAAAGGCCUACCAAGGCGUCGAUCUGUAGCUGGUCUGAGAGGACGACCAGCCACACUGGGACUGAGACACGGCCCAGACUCCUACGGGAGGCAGCAGUGGGGAAUUUUGGACAAUGGGCGAAAGCCUGAUCCAGCAAUGCCGCGUGUGUGAUGAAGGCCUUCGGGUUGUAAAGCACUUUUGGCGGGAACGAAAAGGACUGUGCCAAUACCACGGUUCGAUGACGGUACCCGCAGAAUAAGCACCGGCUAACUACGUG